RNAcentral lists this ribosomal RNA (252 nucleotides) under uncultured bacterium. Its description in RNAcentral is "partial 16S ribosomal RNA". It matches the Rfam family "Bacterial small subunit ribosomal RNA", at positions 524 to 776 of the family's 1533-position model. The record is from RNAcentral.
CACGUAGGGCGCAAGCGUUGUCCGGAAUUAUUGGGCGUAAAGAGCUCGUAGGCGGUCUGUCGCGUCGGGAGUGAAAACUCAGGGCUUAACCCUGAGCCUGCUUCCGAUACGGGCAGACUAGAGUAUGCAGGGGAGAACGGAAUUCCUGGUGUAGCGGUGGAAUGCGCAGAUAUCAGGAGGAACACCGGUGGCGAAGGCGGUUCUCUGGGCAUUACCUGACGCUGAGGAGCGAAAGUGUGGGGAGCGAACAGG